Molecule: ribosomal RNA, 484 nt
Filed under: uncultured bacterium
Lineage: Bacteria
Description: partial 16S ribosomal RNA
Rfam family: Bacterial small subunit ribosomal RNA
Source: RNAcentral
AUUGAACGCUGGCGGCAGGCCUAACACAUGCAAGUCGAGCGGAUGAAGGGAGCUUGCUCCUGGAUUCAGCGGCGGACGGGUGAGUAAUGCCUAGGAAUCUGCCUGGUAGUGGGGGAUAACGUCCGGAAACGGGCGCUAAUACCGCAUACGUCCUGAGGGAGAAAGUGGGGGAUCUUCGGACCUCACGCUAUCAGAUGAGCCUAGGUCGGAUUAGCUAGUUGGUGGGGUAAAGGCCUACCAAGGCGACGAUCCGUAACUGGUCUGAGAGGAUGAUCAGUCACACUGGGACUGAGACACGGUCCAGACUCCUACGGGAGGCAGCAGUGGGGAAUAUUGGACAAUGGGCGAAAGCCUGAUCCAGCCAUGCCGCGUGUGUGAAGAAGGUCUUCGGAUUGUAAAGCGCUUUAAGUUGGGAGGAAGGGCAGUAAGUUAAUACCUUGCUGUUUUGACGUUACCAACAGAAGAAGCACCGGCUAACUUCGUG